AUGGCCUCCCUCCUCGCGCCGCCCGCCUCCACGCGCGGCAUCCUGCCGCCUCCCCGGCGGCCGGCCCUGACCCCCCGCGCCGCGCGCUCGUGCUACCGCUUCCGCACCGACGACGACGGCGUCGUGGACGUGGCCGUCGCCGCGGGGGAGGGCGGCGGGUACACGGUCGGCGUCGAGGUCCCGCCCCUGCCGGGCGCGCGCCGGCGGGAGGGCGGGCUGCUGCUCCGCCCCGCGGGCUCCGCCGAGGCCGUCCCGCUGGACGGCGCCUGCCCCGCGGUCGAGCUCUCGUUCCGCGCGCCCCCCGCGCCGUUCAGCCUCUCGUUCCUGCUCACGGACGGCGAGGGCGCCGAGAUACGGACCCACCGCAGGACGCCCUUCCGCGUGCCGAUCGGCGUCGGGCCGGGCAGCCCCGCGCCGCUCGGCCUGUCCCUCUCGGAGGGCGGGGCCGCCAACUUCGCCCUCUACAGCAGGAGCGCCAAGGGCGUCGUGCUCUGCCUGUACGGCGGCGGCGGCGGCGGCAAGCCCGCUCUGGAGAUCGAGCUCGACCCCUACGUCAACCGGACGGGCAACGUCUGGCACGUCUCGCUGGAGAGCGUGGAGGGGUACGGCAGCUACGGCUUCCGCUGCGGGCUCUUCGGCAUGGGCUACCCACUGUUGGAUCCGUAUGCCAAGGUGAUCGGUGACCUGGUUGCUGCCAAUUCUGUUCAUGUGAAGGGGAUCACUGCGCCGUCUAUGAGCUGCCUCGGAUCGUUGGCGAAUCCACCGAGCUACAGUUGGGGCAGGGACGAGCAGCCACGCUUGCCAUUGGAGAAGCUGGUGGUGUACCGGGCAAAUGUGGCGUUGUUCACCAAGGACAAGUCGAGCGGGCUGCUGGACAAUGUUGCCGGUACUUUCUCCGGGGUGGCUGCAAAGAUACAGCACUUCAGGAGUCUCGGUGUCAAUGCGGUUUUGCUGGAACCAGUGUUCCAAUUCGAUCAGGUGAAGGGCCCUUACUUCCCGUACCAUUUCUUUUCACCAAUGGCCUCGUAUAGCGGUGACGGUUGCAGUGCUUCAGCAAUCACGGCUAUGAAGGAUAUGGUCAAGGCAAUGCACAGAAAUGGAAUAGAGGUCCUCUUGGAGGUUGUUUUUACACAUACUGCUGAAGGAGAAGCAGAUGGUCAGAUGAUAUCGAUCAGUGGCAUUGACAAUUCCUCGUAUUACAUUACUGAUGAGAUUGCUGGGUGCAAAUCGGUUAUACUGAAUUGCAAUUCCCCAGUGACUCAGAAUCUGAUUUUGGACAGCCUCCGCCAUUGGGUGAUUGAUUUCCAUGUUGAUGGGUUUUGCUUCAUCAAUGCCCCUUUCCUGGUCAGGGGUCCACGUGGUGAAUAUCUUUCUCGACCGCCCCUUCUUGAAUCUAUAGCUUUCGACCCGGUUCUUUCCAAGACAAAGAUCAUUGCAGAUCCUUGGUCUCCACUCGACAUAUCUAACGUGCAAUUUCCAUUCCCUCACUGGAAAAGAUGGUCUGAGAUGAACACAAGGUUCUCCAUUGAUGUGCGCAAUUUUUUGAAGGGAGAAGCUCUUAUUGGUGCUCUUGCUACGCGUCUGUGUGGUAGCGGGGACCUAUUUUCCAACAGAGGCCCGGCAUUUUCUUUCAAUUAUGUAUCCAGGAAUUCAGGGCUUACUCUUGUUGAUUUGGUGAGUUUCAGCAAUGGGGAUCUUGCUUCUGAGUCAAGCUGGAAUUGUGGUGAAGAAGGACCGUCCGAGGACAGUGUAGUUCUUCAGAAGAGGCUAAGGCAGAUAAGGAAUUUCAUAUUUAUUCUGUUUGUUUCACUUGGUAUUCCUGUCCUGAACAUGGGGGAUGAAUGCGGGCACUCCUCUGCUGGUUCGGCAUCAUACAAGGACAGAGUUCCUCUAAACUGGAAGGCCUUGAAGACCAGUUUUGUUAAGGAAGUUACUGGAUUCAUUUCAUUUCUAGCUGCACUCAGGAGUCGGCGAGGUGACAUUUUUCAGAGAAGAGAAUUCCUCAAACUGGAAAACAUAAGUUGGCAUGGGAACAAUCUAUCUGAACCACGAUGGGAAGAUCCUACUAGCAAGUUCCUUUGCAUGCACAUAAUCGCAGAAAAUGAUGUUAAUACACCAGAGUUAACCAAAGGUAACUUGUACAUAUGUUUCAAUGCAAAUGAGGAACCAGCAAGUGCUACAUUACCUGCUCCUGCAGAAGGAUCUGUGUGGCUACGUUUGGUUGAUACAUCACUUGCGCUUCCAGGUUUCUUUACAACUGAGUCUAAUCUGAAAGUACACAAAGUGCUAGGAUAUUCAUCUUAUGAAGUAAAAGCGCACAGUUGUGUUUUAUUUGAAUCAAAGAGGGAUCUCCCCCAGUUUCUCUGA
This 2367-nucleotide ribosomal RNA is filed under the name Triticum aestivum (bread wheat). RNAcentral describes it as "partial small subunit ribosomal RNA". Lineage: Eukaryota; Viridiplantae; Streptophyta; Magnoliopsida; Poales; Poaceae. The record is from RNAcentral.